RNAcentral lists this ribosomal RNA (788 nucleotides) under Staphylococcus sp. Y6-MSE-E14. Its description in RNAcentral is "bacterial SSU rRNA". It matches the Rfam family "Bacterial small subunit ribosomal RNA", at positions 56 to 825 of the family's 1533-position model. Lineage: Bacteria; Bacillati; Bacillota; Bacilli; Caryophanales; Staphylococcaceae. The record is from RNAcentral.
UGCAAGUCGAGCGAACAGAUGAGAAGCUUGCUUCUCUGAUGUUAGCGGCGGACGGGUGAGUAACACGUGGGUAACCUACCUAUAAGACUGGGAUAACUCCGGGAAACCGGGGCUAAUACCUGAUAAUAUUUUGAACCGCAUGGUUCAAUAGUGAAAGACGGCUUCGGCUGUCACUUAUAGAUGGACCCGCGCCGUAUUAGCUAGUUGGUAAGGUAAUGGCUUACCAAGGCAACGAUACGUAGCCGACCUGAGAGGGUGAUCGGCCACACUGGAACUGAGACACGGUCCAGACUCCUACGGGAGGCAGCAGUAGGGAAUCUUCCGCAAUGGGCGAAAGCCUGACGGAGCAACGCCGCGUGAGUGAUGAAGGUCUUAGGAUCGUAAAACUCUGUUGUUAGGGAAGAACAAAUUUGUUAGUAACUGAACAAGUCUUGACGGUACCUAACCAGAAAGCCACGGCUAACUACGUGCCAGCAGCCGCGGUAAUACGUAGGUGGCAAGCGUUAUCCGGAAUUAUUGGGCGUAAAGCGCGCGUAGGCGGUUUCUUAAGUCUGAUGUGAAAGUCCACGGCUCAACCGUGGAAGGUCAUUGGAAACUGGGGAACUUGAGUGCAGAAGAGGAGAGUGGAAUUCCAUGUGUAGCGGUGAAAUGCGCAGAGAUAUGGAGGAACACCAGUGGCGAAGGCGGCUCUCUGGUCUGUAACUGACGCUGAUGUGCGAAAGCGUGGGGAUCAAACAGGAUUAGAUACCCUGGUAGUCCACGCCGUAAACGAUGAGUGCUAAGUGUUA